Molecule: regulatory RNA element, 102 nt
Organism: Brachybacterium nesterenkovii
Lineage: Bacteria; Bacillati; Actinomycetota; Actinomycetes; Micrococcales; Dermabacteraceae
Rfam family: mraW RNA
Source: Rfam
ACACGGCCGUAUCGCGAGAUUUCUCGUCGCUUCCGCCCCGACGCAACUUCCCCGGUGGCGGGUCGGGAGCGACGGGGAAUCCCGCGAGACGGACAGGACGGC